GCAGUCGAACGAUGAAGCCUUUCGGGGUGGAUUAGUGGCGAACGGGUGAGUAACACGUGGGCAAUCUGCCCUUCACUCUGGGACAAGCCCUGGAAACGGGGUCUAAUACCGGAUAACACUCCUCAGGGCAUCUUGAGGGGUUAAAAGCUCCGGCGGUGAAGGAUGAGCCCGCGGCCUAUCAGCUUGUUGGUGGGGUGAUGGCCUACCAAGGCGACGACGGGUAGCCGGCCUGAGAGGGCGACCGGCCACACUGGGACUGAGACACGGCCCAGACUCCUACGGGAGGCAGCAGUGGGGAAUAUUGCACAAUGGGCGAAAGCCUGAUGCAGCGACGCCGCGUGAGGGAUGACGGCCUUCGGGUUGUAAACCUCUUUCAGCAGGGAAGAAGCGAAAGUGACGGUACCUGCAGAAGAAGCGCCGGCUAACUACGUGCCAGCAGCCGCGGUAAUACGUAGGGCGCAAGCGUUGUCCGGAAUUAUUGGGCGUAAAGAGCUCGUAGGCGGCUUGUCACGUCGGAUGUGAAAGCCCGGGGCUUAACCCCGGGUCUGCAUUCGAUACGGGCUAGCUAGAGUGUGGUAGGGGAGAUCGGAAUUCCUGGUGUAGCGGUGAAAUGCGCAGAUAUCANGAGGAACACCGGUGGCGAAGGCGGAUCUCUGGGCCAUUACUGACGCUGAGGAGCGAAAGCGUGGGGAGCGAACAGGAUUAGAUACCCUGGUAGUCCACGCCGUAAACGUUGGGAACUAGGUGUUGGCGACAUUCCACGUC
RNAcentral lists this ribosomal RNA (765 nucleotides) under bacterium 31-L049642-122-014-G04. RNAcentral's name for it is "bacterial SSU rRNA". It matches the Rfam family "Bacterial small subunit ribosomal RNA", at positions 57 to 838 of the family's 1533-position model. The record is from RNAcentral.